GGGGUAUGGAAAAUUUUUUUUGUGCAACAAAAAAUUUUGAGAAAUUUGGGACAUGCGCUAAUUGUUGGCGUGAGACAUCUCUCCUUCUUUCUUCCCUUAUCUCAACAUAUCUCAUCAUUCUUUUUAUUUUGGACACCCAAGAUCAAAUGGGAUUUGAUCUUUUAAGGCAUUAAGAAGAGAUUGGGGCAUGAGAGAUCUGGUUGGAGCGACAAAAAUGAAAGGAGGAGAGAUGGCAUGCACUAAAGAGAUGAAGCUCUUCUUUCUUACAUCAAAAUUCUUCCCAAUGCCUCCUCCUCCCUUCUCCCCUUCAUCCAAUGCCCAGAUCUAAUGGUGAUCCGAUCUAAAAGAGAAAAAGAGAGAGAAGAAGAGAAGAAGAAGAGUUCUUCUUCUCUUUAUGGUGAUCUGAUUCAGAUUCCGUCGGAUCUGCAUGAAAGAGUUCACACAGCGAUCUACUUCUUCAAGAUUUAGAAGAAGAGAUCAAGAUCCAAAAAUAAGAAGUAAGAUCUGCAAGAUGCUAGCACACCAGUGAUCUCAGUGCUCUGAUAAGAUGGCUCUAUAUGGAUACUAAUAGAGAUCGAAUGCGUGCGCGGCUACGAUUAGAAUCUAGGACAUCCGGAAGAUCCGAGAUAUGGAGAUCCGAUCUCUAUUUUAUUUUUACUAACGAUUGUUUUUGUUUCAGAUUUCAGAUCGUGGAUACUUGUUCGUAUCAAGAUCCAUGCUAUAAUUUUCAAAUCUGAUCUAGUACUUGUAAAUUAAAAUUAUUUUAAUUUAUUUAUUUUCACUGUAUAGAUGUUUAGAAAAAAAUUUUGAAUUACACGUACGAAAUCAUAGUGUAUUCUAAUAGUGAUAUCAGAGCAUAGGUUCUGAUACGAACAUGAAACCCCCUCAGAUCUGAUAUCUGAUUUGUAGAAAUUAGAUCUAAAGGUUAAUAAGAUGAUCACAUCAUUCUGAAAUAAGGUUGCCCUGGCAUAACUCCUGUUAUGCUG
This 986-nucleotide long non-coding RNA is filed under the name Elaeis guineensis (African oil palm). Its description in RNAcentral is "long non-coding RNA (EGUI_LNC052698)". Lineage: Eukaryota; Viridiplantae; Streptophyta; Magnoliopsida; Arecales; Arecaceae. The record is from RNAcentral.